UACUUUCAAAUGCCUGUAUACUUUAUUAAUCAUACUAUUUGCAUACAUCUGAAUUUAUUUAUUUAUGGAGUAUGCUCACUAAGUGUACAGGCACUGCUUGGUGCACAAAUGGCUUCGCCCACCCCUUGCACAGGGAAGCCCCCAGGGUCCCCAGGAGGCGCCCAGGGUCCAAGGCCCGGGGCCUAGAGCUGCUACCGAGGACGCAGAGGCGCUAGGUCCUGCCUUCUACCCUAAACGUUCCUUUAAGCCGGAUUCCCAGGGGCUGCAGGCGGCCCUUCCUGCAAGUCGCCGGGGCAUCGCAGGGCAUCUGCUGCCCCCUAUCGGUGGUGAGGCGAACAAUAACCCGAACCCAGUUAGAAUCGACUAGAAGAGGCCUCUUGAAUAAAAGAAUAUUCCAUGACUACGCAGUAGCCAGAGGACUCUCAGAGCCUGUUUUCCGCAGACAUCCAGCUCCGGCUGCCGCGUUGUAACGCAGGUGUCCGCCAGUCAAGGAGAAGAUGAUGGAUUGUGAGGAGCAAUCUGACGCUGCUUCGGCGAAGGCAGGGAGCGGCGUGGGUUGCGGGGUCCCGGAUACACCCAGGGUUCACCUUGUGUUUUCCACCCUCCCAUUCACCAGUCCACCUCGUCCUUAGGAAAAGCGUUUGCCCUCACUCGGGACGGGGAUGUUCCUUAGGGCACAGCGUGGUGUUUUCCCAAGCCCCUGAAACACCUGUCCCCUCAUAUUACACCUUGAGCAGAGUCCAGUGACCUCUGCUGCAGAGGUGACAAAGGCCACUCUCCUUGAGUAGCCGCCUCAACUGUGUCCAGGAAUGGCCUUCCAACAGCGUGUUACUUCUCUGAUCCCUUUGGUGGGAAUAUGAAUAUGCUUCAGAAAAGUCAAAUAAAUACUGAGAAGAAAACUCUCGGACACCCCCGGCUACCACUGAUGCCCGUACAGUGAAAGUUCCUGCCAGGACCGCACAGGUAAAAUUCGCCUGCCCCAGGGACACAGCCGAGGCUGCUAGCCGACUGAGAACGUGUGUGACAGUUACGUACUGAGAUAUUUCUAAUUUUAUUUUCAUUAUUUUCUCCCACCCCACUACCACUCCCCUUCCACACACACACACACACACACACUUUGCAGUGUCCUAACUUGUUCACUCUUGUCCAUAUUUGCCUUGGCCCUUUUGGGAAGAAGGCAAGAGAAAGAUGAACGAAGGUGAGUGGGGGAAGGGAGGGAGGGGAAGAGGGAGAAUCGCCUUCUACGCAAGACUUUAAGCCGGAAGACGCCCCGGCGGAGGGUCUUCAGGACGACAACGGAAAAGUCCCACUACACGCUCAGAGCGCUGGUGCUGGCGCCCCCAACUGCCGGUGGCAGCAGGAGAUCCGGGAUCCAGUUGGUCCCCUCCGAGGGUUCCGCCCGCCCGCGCUGGCGGUGGGGCCCUCCAGGGUCGCUGCGAGUCUGGGAGAGGAAGGAGGCUCCGCUGGCUCCGUUCUCCCUCCCAGCUCGCCGUGGCCAUGGCCCCGCCAAGUCUCCGCUCCCGAGCGGCCGCAGGUGCCGAGUGGCCGAUCCCCGGAGCGAGUGAAACGCGGGCCUCGCCGCCCCAUCCCGUCCCCGGCUCCAGGAGGGUCUCCGGCGGGUGGCCGCGUCCCCUCGGUCCGGCGCCCCUUCCCCGCGGCCUGUGGGCGCGGCGCGCAGGGGCGCGGGCGGGCGGCGGCUCCCGGGCGCGGGCGGAAGGCGCGGCACCGCCUCGGUCACGGCCGCCGCCGGGCUCAGGCGGAAGCCCGGGCUCCGGAGGGGCGGGGCCGCCGCGCCCGGCGAGGCCCAGGGCUCCGGGCCCCGGCGCGCCCGUCGGUGCAUCAGCGGAACCCCGGCGGCCGCCGCGCCCGCCAGGCACCGAUGGCCCCUGGUCAGCUUCAGCGCCCUCCCCGCGCGUGGUGGGGCGAGGCCGUGCCCACGCGUGUCCGUCCGGCUGCGCGUCUGUCACUUGCACACUCGGAGCCCCUCCGGCCGCGCAGGCCCCGGCUCUGGGGUUGGCGGCUCCCGCGUCUGCCACCUCCAGGACCCGGAGCCGCCAACCCCAGCCUCCCGGCGAGCCGGGACUUCCCGGAUGGGGCCAUGCUUUCCUUCCAGGACAACCAGGGCUCCUCCCCUCCCGGCGAUCUUUCUAGGAGGCCACCUCCAGAGAUUCCGAGGCGAUUUCCUCCCUGCCGGUACCAAACCGGUAACUCCUCUCACUGAAGACACCAGGGGGACUGACAAGCUGAGUGAGUGGCGAGGGACCACCACCACCGAAAAACCCAGCGUUCCACGUGCGCGGACUGUUUUGAUCGCACUCAUUACCUGUCAGCCUCUGGCCAGGCAACAGCCUCCCAAACCUGCAGAGGCACUGUUUUCUACCCAGCAUCUCCGGUUGUACUUGUGGCAGAAUUUCCUACUGCUGGAAGCUUAUGAGUGGGCAAAUACUUUCUGUACCUUCUGAGACCACGAGGGCAUGCCAAAACCAGCCACUUGAAGUAAGGAGACCAGGUCUGAGAAUAUUCUGGAGUCCUCUACAGAGGGGAGGGCAGUGAUUGGCAACUCCCAUCUCUUUGCAAACAAGAAGCCAUGUUCUCUGGAGGUUUCCCUGGAAAGGCCAAGAACUCGGUUUUCAGUGUUGUCUGAGAGAGACGGGUUUGCCAGCAAAAGCUCCAUAGCCAUGAGUUACAGUGAAUUCAGUGGGGUGACCACAGCCUGGUGGAGAUGGACUUGACUGUGAGCGGCUUGGAACGCUGUACCCCUGGCCUCAGCGCUCGGGACUUCUCUCUGCAGAGUGCACAUGCACAAAAAAGUCAUAUGAAGACAUAACGGGAUGGCAGCCACCUACAAGCCAAGAAAAGAGGCCUCAGAAUGAAACUUACUUGCCAGCACCUUGAUCUCAGGCUUCCAGCCUCC
RNAcentral lists this long non-coding RNA (2914 nucleotides) under Equus asinus (donkey). RNAcentral describes it as "lncRNA (ENSEASG00005025968.1)". The record is from RNAcentral. Lineage: Eukaryota; Metazoa; Chordata; Mammalia; Perissodactyla; Equidae.